Piliocolobus tephrosceles (Ugandan red Colobus) is the source of this 1759-nucleotide long non-coding RNA. RefSeq lists it as uncharacterized. The record is from RefSeq and is a predicted model, not a curated record. NCBI's taxonomy places the organism in Eukaryota, Metazoa, Chordata, Mammalia, Primates, Cercopithecidae. The transcript is spliced from 4 exons.
CUCUCCCUCCUGCUGUGCCCAUAAACUGCAGAGAGGGAGGGGGAAGCUGCUCAGAUGGGUUCAAAAAACUCCCUGGGCUCAACGCUGGUUCUGACUGCCUAAGACAUGGGCUGGUGACACAGCGGACCCGAACCCUGAGGAUGUGAGGCAGGUGCACAGCUGGAGGUGGGAUCCACACAGCUCAGAACAGCUGGAUCUUGCUCAGUCUCUGUCAGAGGAAGAUUCCUUGGGUUAAGAAAAACCUUCCAGUCUGAACAGUGACUGGAGAGCUCCAAGGAAAGCCCCUUGGUAACGCAGCCGCUGGCACCAUGAACCCAGAGAGCAGCAUCUUUAUUGAGGAUUCCCUUAAGUAUUUCCAGGACCGAGUGAGCAGAGAGAAUCUGCUACAACUGCUGACUGAUGGUAGAGCCUGGAGCGAAUUCAUGGUUGCUGCUGAACUGUCCAGGUAACCUCCACCGGGUUACUUCUGUGGGGAGCCCCAGUGAUGCCACCCGUAUCUCCCUUGGGCUAGUUUUCCCUGACAUGCACACCUCCUCCAGGCAGGCCCCUCUGCUGGGCUUGAGGAUGACCUUCUCAGCAGUCCAGGAAGAGUAUUUCCUCCCUGUCCUUCGCUGGCAGUGAGUAGCCUCAGGCUGAGGGGACAGGAAGCCCACAGGGACAGGGUCAUUUCUGCCAUCUGCUGGUGAUGGGAACUUUGCAAGUUACUUUCUCACUUUCCGCCUUUCUUCAUCCAUGGAGUUUGAUUGUGAGAAAAAUGAGAUCAUGCAUGUAAAGUGCUUAGCAUAAUGACUGACACAUAGUAAGUGCACAGUUAACGUUAACAUCUAACAACCUUGGUGGAAAUAGACCAGGGUUAAGGGUCUUCUUCUUGAAGAUGGGAGCCCAGCAGGACUUCCUUUGGGACAAGUCAGAAAAAUCCUGACAUAACCAAUGCGUGUUCCUGGGGAUGCUGGCUGGGACCAUUUUUUCUCAUCUGAGGAAUUCCAUAAACAUGGCAGGACUCUUCUGCUGGUCCAGGAUGCUGGGAGGCUGGAGUGGAGUUGGACAGCACUGGGUUUCCUCCCGGCUCUGUCUGUGUUUAGUCCCUGGGCUCUAGGCUUAUGUCAUGGAGACUGGGAACUGUCAUCGGUCCCAUAGGAAUAGCAAGUCAAUGUGAUAGGAGUGUGGUGAACGCCUUAGAGUGAACUCCAGGUCAAAUGUGGGAAACCAAGGACCAAGAUCCUGCCCAAAGGCCCAGAGACCAGGACCAGUGUCAGAGCCUGAGGUCAGGAUGCAGCAAGAGUCAGCCUUCUUUUUGUAGGACAAGUAGGAAGGUUGAGGCACCAGGGCUGGGACUAGGGUGUGGCAAGAAGGGCACCCUAGAGGGCUUGAAACUUAAGGAGGUCAUGAACUUGCAGAGGACAUGUGAGUGGGAGAGGAAUAUUUAUUCCCUGUCUGGAUGAUCCCAACACUCAUGGACAUAGAGGAUCAUGGCUGCUUGUGUCUCUCACACCCUGCCUUGGAACUGGCAAGUUCUGGGCUACCCUUUGGGAUCUUCUUCUCUUCUACACAAAGAAGCCCCUGACCAUGGCAAGCAGUAUGCCUUAGUGACCAUCUCCAUAGUAGAAUGAGUUGCUGCCAAUUUAUGUAAUUUCAGGGGUACUGAGUAGACUGACAAGUCCCCAACCAAGAAGGAAAACACUUCCUCUACCAUCUUGUCCAAAUUCAGGUCUUUUCAGCAUUAGCAAUUUAUAUAGAUGGUUCUGAAAGUGUCCUGAAU